RNAcentral lists this ribosomal RNA (450 nucleotides) under uncultured Glomeromycotina. RNAcentral's name for it is "SSU rRNA". It matches the Rfam family "Eukaryotic small subunit ribosomal RNA", at positions 569 to 1023 of the family's 1831-position model. Lineage: Eukaryota; Fungi; Glomeromycota. The record is from RNAcentral.
AGCAGCCGCGGUAAUUCCAGCUCCAAUAGCGUAUAUUAAAGUUGUUGCAGUUAAAAAGCUCGUAGUUGAAUUUCGGGGUUAGUAGAUUGGUCAUGCCUCUGGUAUGUACUGGUCUUACUGAUUCCUCCUUCCUGAUGAGCCGUAAUGCCAUUAAUUUGGUGUUGCGGGGAAUUUGGACUGUUACUUUGAAAAAAUUAGAGUGUUUAAAGCAGGCUCGCGCUUGAAUACAUUAGCAUGGAAUAAUGAAAUAGGACGUUUGAUUCUAUUUUGUUGGUUUCUAGGAUCGACGUAAUGAUUAAUAGGGAUAGUUGGGGGCAUUAGUAUUCAAUUGUCAGAGGUGAAAUUCUUGGAUUUAUUGAAGACUAACUACUGCGAAAGCAUUUGCCAAGGAUGUUUUCAUUAAUCAAGAACGAAAGUUAGGGGAUCGAAGACGAUCAGAUACCGUCGUAG